UACAAACCGACUCCCCAUUGCCAGUUGGCGAUCCCUCUCACAAAAUACAUAGGAUAAAAGACGCGAGCAUGGCGUGGACACGCGUCCCAUUGGCAAAGGCAACCUAGACACCUCUCACUCUCCAGCCAUUCACAGACUGACACGCAUCCUAUCUCCAACGGCUUUUUUUUCUCUCCUCACCCACCAUAAACUACCCUUCUCUCCUUCGAUUCCUUGAUACCUGAGACCAUCCUUUACUCACCUGUAUUCAUUUUACUAUCUUCCACUCAUAAAAUGGGAUAUCUUUCAGAGUCAUCCUUCAAAAAAAUCCCGAAAAAAGAAGUUCCAUAAAAAACAUCACCUUCACACUACAGCGAUACCAUCCUCCUUCCGUAAGCUUCCGUCAACGACCUUCCGCCUCCAACCUCCAUCGCCGUCGGCCAUCCAACAACGAACACAACCGCGCACAAAUCUCCAUCUCGCCAUGUCUGUUCCCACCUCGGGCUCUUAGGUUUGACGGCAUCCGCUUCACCCAUUUCGACAUCACGUCAUCCGGCAGAUCUUCAACACAUGUAGAAGCAACCAAAUCAAACCCAAGCAACUUAUUGAGAAGAUCCAAAGAUGACGUUGCUAAAUGACAAAGUCAAAUGCAACCAUGGCUUCGCGAUUUCGGCAGCAACACUGUGGUGACAAGGCGUUGGUUCAGAUCUCCUAAUUCAGUUGCUGUUAUCAUGGAGUCAUUUUGAAUAUUGUUGGCUUGUGUGUUGGAUUUUGUGCGUUUUCAGGCAUACUCUGAGUAUCAAUUGGAUUUUAUUCCGUACUGUUUGGACUUUUGUAAAUAAGGUUAUAAGUAAAAUUAUGGUUAUGUUGUUGAUUUAAUUUCAUUACGUGUAAAAGUCGAAAAUAUGUGGAUCCGGCAAUUUCAUGCCGUAUAUCGCCAAAUUUCAAUAAACUAAUAGAACACUUCACUGCG
Lathyrus oleraceus (garden pea) is the source of this 952-nucleotide long non-coding RNA. RefSeq lists it as uncharacterized. NCBI's taxonomy places the organism in Eukaryota, Viridiplantae, Streptophyta, Magnoliopsida, Fabales, Fabaceae. The record is from RefSeq and is a predicted model, not a curated record. The transcript has 2 exons.